RNAcentral lists this small nuclear RNA (100 nucleotides) under Octodon degus (degu). Lineage: Eukaryota; Metazoa; Chordata; Mammalia; Rodentia; Octodontidae. The record is from RNAcentral.
GGGAGCACAGGCACACAUCCACUACAACUAGGAUGAUACAGAGAUUAGGAUGGCCCCAUGCAAGGAUGUUGCACAAAUUAGUGAAGCAUUCCACAGUUUU